UUAAAUCUACUAAUAUUAGAAUAAGUGAUCUACGGAAAUAACAGUAUUCUAAAAAUAUUUGGAAUACACAUUCUGCGCUUUAUCUAUAUUUCUAAAAUAUGUAGAACCAACAAUCUACACGUUAUUCAGAAUCUAAAACCUGUAGAAACAGAAUUCAAACAGCUUAACUGUAUUCUACACAUAGUAGAAUGCAAAUUAUACGGAUAAGUAUGAACAGU
RNAcentral lists this long non-coding RNA (218 nucleotides) under Brassica napus (rape). RNAcentral's name for it is "long non-coding RNA (BNAP_LNC010921)". Lineage: Eukaryota; Viridiplantae; Streptophyta; Magnoliopsida; Brassicales; Brassicaceae. The record is from RNAcentral.